This 214-nucleotide ribosomal RNA is filed under the name uncultured bacterium. RNAcentral describes it as "partial 16S ribosomal RNA". It matches the Rfam family "Bacterial small subunit ribosomal RNA", at positions 524 to 737 of the family's 1533-position model. The record is from RNAcentral.
UACGUAGGGAGCGAGCGUUGUCCGGAAUCAUUGGGCGUAAAGAGCGCGUAGGUGGAUCAAUUAGUCUGCUGUGAAAGUCAAAGGCUCAACCUUUGAAAGCCGGUGGAUACUGUUGAUCUAGAGUACGGAAGAGGCGAGUGGAAUUCCUGGUGUAGCGGUGGAAUGCGCAGAUAUCAGGAGGAACACCAAUAGCGAAGGCAGCUCGCUGGGACGU